UGCUCCCUGAUGUUAGCGGCGGACGGGUGAGUAACACGUGGGUAACCUGCCUGUAAGACUGGGAUAACUCCGGGAAACCGGGGCUAAUACCGGAUGCUUGAUUGAACCGCAUGGUUCAAUUAUAAAAGGUGGCUUUUAGCUACCACUUACAGAUGGACCCGCGGCGCAUUAGCUAGUUGGUGAGGUAACGGCUCACCAAGGCAACGAUGCGUAGCCGACCUGAGAGGGUGAUCGGCCACACUGGGACUGAGACACGGCCCAGACUCCUACGGGAGGCAGCAGUAGGGAAUCUUCCGCAAUGGACGAAAGUCUGACGGAGCAACGCCGCGUGAGUGAUGAAGGUUUUCGGAUCGUAAAACUCUGUUGUUAGGGAAGAACAAGUACCGUUCGAAUAGGGCGGUACCUUGACGGUACCUAACCAGAAAGCCACGGCUAACUACGUGCCAGCAGCCGCGGUAAUACGUAGGUGGCAAGCGUUGUCCGGAAUUAUUGGGCGUAAAGCGCGCGCAGGCGGUUUCUUAAGUCUGAUGUGAAAGCCCCCGGCUCAACCGGGGAGGGUCAUUGGAAACUGGGGAACUUGAGUGCAGAAGAGGAGAGUGGAAUUCCACGUGUAGCGGUGAAAUGCGUAGAGAUGUGGAGGAACACCAGUGGCGAAGGCGACUCUCUGGUCUGUAACUGACGCUGAGGCGCGAAAGCGUGGGGAGCGAACAGGAUUAGAUACCCUGGUAGUCCACGCCGUAAACGAUGAGUGCUAAGUGUUAGAGGGUUUCCGCCCUUUAGUGCUGCAGCAAACGCAUUAAGCACU
RNAcentral lists this ribosomal RNA (805 nucleotides) under Bacillus paralicheniformis. RNAcentral describes it as "bacterial SSU rRNA". It matches the Rfam family "Bacterial small subunit ribosomal RNA", at positions 80 to 868 of the family's 1533-position model. Lineage: Bacteria; Bacillati; Bacillota; Bacilli; Caryophanales; Bacillaceae. The record is from RNAcentral.